GCACAAGCAGCGGAGCGUGUGGUUUAAUUCGAUGCUACACGAAGAACCUUACCAAGGUUUGACAUGUAAGUGGUAGUGAUCUGAAAAGUGAACGACCCUUCGGGGAGCUUACACAGGUGCUGCAUGGCUGUCGUCAGCUCGUGUCGUGAGAUGUUCGGUUAAGUCCGCUAACGAGCGCAACCCUCACUGUGUGUUACAUGUGUCACACGGGACUGCCGGUUUUAAGCCGGAGGAAGGCGAGGAUGACGUCAAGUCAGCAUGGCCUUUAUAUCUUGGGCUACACACACGCUACAAUGGUCUGUACAAUAGGUUGCCAAGCCGCGAGGCGGAGCCAAUCCUUAAAGCAGGCCUCAGUUCAGAUUGCAGGCUGCAACCCGCCUGCAUGAAGAUGGAGUUGCUAGUAACCGCAGGUCAGCUAUACUGCGGUGAAUACGUUCCCGGGUCUU
This 446-nucleotide ribosomal RNA is filed under the name uncultured Anaerolineaceae bacterium. RNAcentral describes it as "bacterial SSU rRNA". It matches the Rfam family "Bacterial small subunit ribosomal RNA", at positions 923 to 1382 of the family's 1533-position model. The record is from RNAcentral. Lineage: Bacteria; Bacillati; Chloroflexota; Anaerolineae; Anaerolineales; Anaerolineaceae.